GACGAACGCUGGCGGCGUGCUUAACACAUGCAAGUCGAACGGACAGGCCCUGCUUUUGCGGGGUGCUCGAGAGGCGAACGGGUGAGUAACACGCGUGUAACCUGCCCUUGACUUUGGGAUAACUUUAGGAAACUGGGGCUAAUACCGGAUAGGAGCUACUGAUGCACGGUGGGGGAUGGAAAGUUUCGGCGGUUGGGGAUGGAAUCGCGGCUUAUCAGCUUGUUGGUGGGGUAGUGGCUUACAAAGGUUUUGAAGGGUAGCCGGCCUGAGAGGGUGACCGGCCACAUUGGGCCUGAGAUACGGCCCAGACUCCUACGGGAGGCAGCAGUGGGGAAUAUUGCACAAUGGGCGGAAGCCUGAUGCAGCAACGCCGCGUGCGGGAUGACGGCCUUCGGGUGAUAAACCGCUUUCGCCUGUGACGAAGCGUUAGUGACGGUAAUGAGUAAAGAAGCACCGGCUAACUACGUG
Molecule: ribosomal RNA, 468 nt
Filed under: uncultured bacterium
Lineage: Bacteria
Description: partial 16S ribosomal RNA
Rfam family: Bacterial small subunit ribosomal RNA
Source: RNAcentral